RNAcentral lists this transfer RNA (73 nucleotides) under Stegodyphus mimosarum. It matches the Rfam family "tRNA". Rfam says of the family: Transfer RNA (tRNA) molecules are approximately 80 nucleotides in length. Their secondary structure includes four short double-helical elements and three loops (D, anti-codon, and T loops). The record is from Rfam by way of RNAcentral. Lineage: Eukaryota; Metazoa; Arthropoda; Arachnida; Araneae; Eresidae.
ACCUUCGUGGUGUAGUGGUCAGCACGCUUGACGCAUAUUCGAGAGGCCCGUGGUUCGAGUCCCGGCGAGGACA